UUUUUACGGGAGGCAGCAGUGAGGAAUAUUGGUCAAUGGGCGAGAGCCUGAACCAGCCAAGUCGCGUGAAGGAUGACUGUCUUAUGGAUUGUAAACUUCUUUUGUAGGGGAAGUAAAGAAGAGGCACGUGUGCCUCAGUGAAUGUACCCUGNGAAUAAGCAUCGGCUAACUCCAUGCCAGCAGCCGCGGUAAUAAAA
Molecule: ribosomal RNA, 197 nt
Filed under: uncultured bacterium
Lineage: Bacteria
Description: partial 16S ribosomal RNA
Rfam family: Bacterial small subunit ribosomal RNA
Source: RNAcentral